GACGAACGCUGGCGGCGUGCUUAACACAUGCAAGUCGAGCGGUAAGGCCCUUUCGGGGGUACACGAGCGGCGAACGGGUGAGUAACACGUGGGUGACCUGCCCUUAGCUCUGGGAUAAGCCUGGGAAACUGGGUCUAAUACCGGAUAUGACCUCAUGACUCAUGUUGUGGGGUGGAAAGCCUUGUGCGGCUAGGGAUGGGCCCGCGGCCUAUCAGCUUGUGGUGGGGUAAUUGCCUACCAAGGCGACGACGGGUAGCCGGCCUGAGAGGGCGACCGGCCACACUGGGACUGAGACACGGCCCAGACU
This 307-nucleotide ribosomal RNA is filed under the name uncultured bacterium. RNAcentral describes it as "bacterial SSU rRNA". It matches the Rfam family "Bacterial small subunit ribosomal RNA", at positions 28 to 337 of the family's 1533-position model. The record is from RNAcentral.